This 625-nucleotide long non-coding RNA is filed under the name Coturnix japonica (Japanese quail). RNAcentral's name for it is "lncRNA (ENSCJPG00005004989.1)". The record is from RNAcentral. Lineage: Eukaryota; Metazoa; Chordata; Aves; Galliformes; Phasianidae.
AUAUUGACCCUCCCCUCAUGGACCCUAUAAUGGGGGACCCCAAGAGUGGGAAUGGCCCCCCCCAAUGGUAACCCUCCCCCCCCCCCCCAGUGCCCCGGAUGUGGCAGAGGAUGGAGGAACUGAAGGGGAAAGUGGAGAAGGAGGAGAAGGAUGGGCAGCACAGACAUGGGAUGUUGCAGCGCUUUGGGGCCGACGUGGGACGGCUGCGACUGGAAGGCUCCCGGUUCCUGGUGGAGGCCUCAACGCUGGAGUCGGAGCUGAGGGCGGAGCUCAACCGCGUCCAAUCAGCCGAGGGGGCGGAGCUUCCGCUGACCCCGCCCACCGCCUGACCACAGCCAAUGGAGGCCACGCCCAUUACAUGAGGCCACGCCCCCCUAAUUUGCAUUAAAGGGACCGCGCACCCCAAAAAUGGCUCCAAUUCUCUCCAUCACCGCCCCCGUCUGCCCCACACAAUAUCCCCAGAUUGAUGCUCCCCAGCCCCAUAGAUGCCCCUUAUUGCCCCCAAUGUCCCCCCACAUCCUGCCCCCCAAGUCACCCCACAUCAGCCCCACAUCAUCACAUUCCAGUCCCAUAUUGACCCCAAUAUAUUUCCUCCAGCCCCACAGAUGUCCCCCCAGUAUCCCCC